AGUGAACGCUGGCGGUAGGCCUAACACAUGCAAGUCGAACGGCAGCACAGUAAGAGCUUGCUCUUACGGGUGGCGAGUGGCGGACGGGUGAGGAAUACAUCGGAAUCUACUUUUUCGUGGGGGCUAACGUAGGGAAACUUACGCUAAUCCCGCAUACGUCCUACGGGUGUAAGCAGGGGUUCUUCGGACCUUGCGCGAUUGUAUGAGCCGAUAUCGGAUUAGCUCGUUUGCGGGGUAAAGGCACACCAAGGCGACGCUCCGUAGCUGGUCUGAGCGGAUGGACAGCCACACGGGAACUGAGAAACAGUACAGACUCCGACGGGAGGCAGCAGUGGAGAAUAUUGGACGAGGGGCGCAAGCCUGAUCCAGCCAUACCGCGUGGGUGAAGAAGGCGUACGGGUUGUAGAGCGCUUAAGGUGGGAGAGAAAAACAGCAGGUUAAUACCCCGCGGUACUGACGGUACCCAAAGAAUAAGCACCGGCUAACUUCGUG
Molecule: ribosomal RNA, 492 nt
Filed under: uncultured bacterium
Lineage: Bacteria
Description: partial 16S ribosomal RNA
Rfam family: Bacterial small subunit ribosomal RNA
Source: RNAcentral